AACCUCUUUUAGUAGGGAAGAAGCGAAAGUGACGGUACCUGCAGAAAAAGCACCGGCUAACUACGUGCCAGCAGCCGCGGUAAUACGUAGGGUGCAAGCGUUGUCCGGAAUUAUUGGGCGUAAAGAGCUCGUAGGCGGUUUGUCGCGUCUGCUGUGAAAUCCCGAGGCUCAACCUCGGGCUUGCAGUGGGUACGGGCAGACUAGAGUGCGGUAGGGGAGAUUGGAAUUCCUGGUGUAGCGGUGGAAUGCGCAGAUAUCAAGAGGAACACCGAUGGCGAAGGCAGAUCUCUGGGCCGUAACUGACGCUGAGGAGCGAAAGCAUGGGGAGCGAACAGGAUUAGAUACCCUGGUAGUCCAUGCCGUAAACGUUGGGCGCUAGAUGUAGGGACCUUUCCACGGUUUCUGUGUCGUAGCUAACGCAUUAAGCGCCCCGCCUGGGGAGUACGGCCGCAAGGCUAAAACUCAGAGGAAUUGACGGGGGCCCGCACAAGCGGCGGAGCAUGCGGAUUAAUUCGAUGCAACGCGAAGAACCUUACCAAGGCUUGACAUACACCGGAAACGGCCAGAGAUGGUCGCC
RNAcentral lists this ribosomal RNA (577 nucleotides) under Curtobacterium sp. Ri3Pt_4403. RNAcentral's name for it is "bacterial SSU rRNA". It matches the Rfam family "Bacterial small subunit ribosomal RNA", at positions 428 to 1014 of the family's 1533-position model. Lineage: Bacteria; Bacillati; Actinomycetota; Actinomycetes; Micrococcales; Microbacteriaceae. The record is from RNAcentral.